Molecule: ribosomal RNA, 492 nt
Filed under: uncultured bacterium
Lineage: Bacteria
Description: partial 16S ribosomal RNA
Rfam family: Bacterial small subunit ribosomal RNA
Source: RNAcentral
AGUGAACGCUGGCGGUAGGCCUAACACAUGCAAGUCGAACGGCAGCACAGUAAGAGCUUGCUCUUACGGGUGGCGAGUGGCGGACGGGUGAGGAAUACAUCGGCAUCUACUUUUUCGUGGGGGAUAACGUAGGGAAACUUACGCUAAUAGCGCAUACGUCCUACGGGUUAAAGCAGUAGAUCUUCGCACCUUUCGCGUUUGUAUUAGCCGAUGUCGGAUUAGCUAGUUGGCGGGGUAAAGGCCCACCAAGGCGACGAUGCGUAGCUGAUCUGAGAGGAUGAUCGGCCACACUGGAACUGAGACACGGUCCAGACUCCUACGGGAGGCAGCAGUGGGGAAUAUUCGACAAUGGGCGAAAGCCUGAUCCAGCAAUACCGCGUGGGUGAAGAAGGCCUUCGGGUUGUAAAGCCCUUUUGUUAGGAAAGAAAAGCAGCAGGUUAAUACACCGCUGUUCUGACGGUACCCAAAGAAUAAGCACCGGCUAACUUCGUG